RNAcentral lists this long non-coding RNA (381 nucleotides) under Medicago truncatula (barrel medic). Its description in RNAcentral is "lncRNA gene10055". The record is from RNAcentral. Lineage: Eukaryota; Viridiplantae; Streptophyta; Magnoliopsida; Fabales; Fabaceae.
AUGGAACGUGAUUCAUGUCCAAAAAAUAAAAUUGAUGGGACAACGUGUCUUAAUACAAUAAUGAUUCGUGUCCAUAGUUUGUGCCAAAGCUGGUUAUCUAAUUCAAAGAAUAUAUAUUAAAAGAAAUUAUCUCCAAGAAUUAGAAAGGUCUGAAGUAUACAAAAUAGUUUGGUGCAGCAGUCCCACAUCGAAGGUGCAGAAACAACAAAGAAAAAUAUUUAUCUAUAAAAGAUCAUUCAUACACGGAGACGAAGUAACUCUUGUCGGACCAAGUAAUUCACAUUGCUUUGUCCAUUUAGUUUAAAAAUUAAUGUUCAUUUGUUCAUUGGUACUAAUAAUGAUGUUCAUUUGUAUGUCAAAUGUAGUGUGAUUCAUGUUAAA